UACGGAGGAUGCGAGCGUUAUCCGGAUUUAUUGGGUUUAAAGGGUGCGUAGGCGGACUGUCAAGUCAGCGGUAAAAUUGAGAGGCUCAACCUCUUCCCGCCGUUGAAACUGGUGGUCUUGAGUGGAUGAGAAGUACGCGGAAUGCGUGGUGUAGCGGUGAAAUGCAUAGAUAUCACGCAGAACCCCGAUUGCGAAGGCAGCAUACCGGCGCCCUACUGACGCUGAAGCACGAAAGCGUGGGUAUCGAACAGG
This 252-nucleotide ribosomal RNA is filed under the name uncultured bacterium. RNAcentral describes it as "partial 16S ribosomal RNA". It matches the Rfam family "Bacterial small subunit ribosomal RNA", at positions 524 to 776 of the family's 1533-position model. The record is from RNAcentral.